This 577-nucleotide ribosomal RNA is filed under the name Phomopsis sp. ZH68. RNAcentral's name for it is "eukaryotic LSU rRNA". The stretch from base 243 to 396 matches the Rfam family "5.8S ribosomal RNA". The record is from RNAcentral. Lineage: Eukaryota; Fungi; Ascomycota; Sordariomycetes; Diaporthales; Diaporthaceae.
UCUUGGUCAUUUAGAGGAAGUAAAAGUCGUAACAAGGUCUCCGUUGGUGAACCAGCGGAGGGAUCAUUGCUGGAACGCGCCCCAGGCGCACCCAGAAACCCUUUGUGAACUUAUACCUUUUGUUGCCUCGGCGCAUGCUGGCCCCUAUGGGGUCCCCUGGAGACAGGGAGCAGGCACGCCGGCGGCCAAGUUAACUCUUGUUUUUACACUGAAACUCUGAGAAAAAAACACAAAUGAAUCAAAACUUUCAACAACGGAUCUCUUGGUUCUGGCAUCGAUGAAGAACGCAGCGAAAUGCGAUAAGUAAUGUGAAUUGCAGAAUUCAGUGAAUCAUCGAAUCUUUGAACGCACAUUGCGCCCUCUGGUAUUCCGGAGGGCAUGCCUGUUCGAGCGUCAUUUCAACCCUCAAGCAUUGCUUGGUGUUGGGGCACUGCUUUUAACGAAGCAGGCCCUGAAAUCUAGUGGCGAGCUCGCCAGGACCCCGAGCGCAGUAGUUAAACCCUCGCUCUGGAAGGCCCUGGCGGUGCCCUGCCGUUAAACCCCCAACUUCUGAAAAUUGACCUCGGAUCAGGUAGAU